This 490-nucleotide ribosomal RNA is filed under the name uncultured bacterium. RNAcentral describes it as "partial 16S ribosomal RNA". It matches the Rfam family "Bacterial small subunit ribosomal RNA", at positions 28 to 507 of the family's 1533-position model. The record is from RNAcentral.
GAUGAACGCUAGCUACAGGCUUAACACAUGCAAGUCGAGGGGCAGCAUGGUCUUAGCUUGCUAAGGCCGAUGGCGACCGGCGCACGGGUGAGUAACACGUAUCCAACCUGCCGUCUACUCUUGGACAGCCUUCUGAAAGGAAGAUUAAUACAAGAUGGCAUCAUGAGUCCGCAUGUUCACAUGAUUAAAGGUAUUCCGGUAGACGAUGGGGAUGCGUUCCAUUAGAUAGUAGGCGGGGUAACGGCCCACCUAGUCUUCGAUGGAUAGGGGUUCUGAGAGGAAGGUCCCCCACAUUGGAACUGAGACACGGUCCAAACUCCUACGGGAGGCAGCAGUGAGGAAUAUUGGUCAAUGGGCGAGAGCCUGAACCAGCCAAGUAGCGUGAAGGAUGACUGCCCUAUGGGUCGUAAACUUCUUUUAUAAAGGAAUAAAGUCGGGUAUGGAUACCCGUUUGCAUGUACUUUAUGAUUAAGGAUCGGCUAACUCCGUG